CGUCGGUGCGCAGUAGUCUUCUCGCUCGCUAGGCCGGUGCCGUCGAUUAUUUCUAAGUGCUUCCUUUUUUGUGUGAUUUUUAAUUUACAAUGGCUGAUCAAGAUCAGGAAAUGGGAAAUGGAGAUGGUCAGCAAGAACAAACUGACUACAUGAACGGUGGUGAAGGCGGAAAUGGCGAAGCCACGGACGCAUCCUCUGGAAAGGAUGACGAUAGAAAAUUAUUUGUUGGUGGUCUCAGCUGGGAAACCUCAGACAAGGAACUCCGAGAACACUUCAGCAAGUAUGGUGAAAUCGAAAAUAUCAAUGUGAAAGUAGACCCUAACACCGGAAGGUCGAGAGGCUUUGCAUUUAUUGUAUUUAAGGAUGUAGCUGUAAUAGAUAAGGUAAUCGCAGCUGGAGACCAUGUCAUCAAUGGGAAGAAAAUCGAUCCCAAGAAAGCCAAAGCUAAGCUGGGUAAAAUCUUUGUUGGUGGCCUAUCCACAGACUUGACAGAUGAUGACAUCAAAAACUACUUCGCUCAAUAUGGAACUAUCGUUGAAACAGAAAUGCCAUUUGACAAAAUCAAGAACCAAAGGAAGGGCUUCUGCUUUAUCACAUUCGAGUCUGAACAAGUAGUCACAGAAUUAUUGAAGAAUGCCAAGCAGUCAAUAAAUGGCAAAGAAGUGGACGUCAAGCGAGCAACGCCUAAACCAGACGGCUUUGGUGGACGAGGCCGAGGUAGAGGAGGUGGCCGAGGCCGUGGUGGUCGAGGUGGAAAGAUGGCAGGAUAUGGUGCUGGUGGCUAUGCUAGUAGUUACCCCAGUUAUGGCUAUGGUGCUGGUUACGAUUACUAUGGCACAGCCUAUGGCGGUGGCUAUGGAACCGGCUAUGACUCAUAUGGCUAUGGUGGCUACGGCGGCUAUGGUGACUACGGAUAUGGUUACGACAGUGGCUAUGCUGUAGGAGCUGGUGGUGGCGGCGGCCGAGGUCGUGGCAAAGGGGGUUAUGGCGGUGGCAAGACAAGGGGAGGAGGGCGUGGUUCUAGACACGCUCCUUAUUAAAUCAAUCUCACUUUAAAUUCAUCUUCUUAAUAUGUGUAUCCUCAUUUUAAUUUUCUCUUUGAUGAGGCCGUCAUCCCUACAAAUCCUAGCACGGGUCAACCCCGAUGAAAGAUUGAUCAGUCACUUGCCUCAUCAAUCGCUCAUUCCAUGUAAAAUUGAAAAGUAGGAAAGUAAAAUACAUCGGAGCCGUGACCUAGGAGGUCUGGAAUGGUCUCAACGCCUAAUGAAGGAGUGAACCUCUAUCUCAAACAAAUCAAUGUACAGUUAAACUAUUAUUGAUAAAGAUGUAAAAAGAAUUUUUUAAGUUUUGAAUCAAGUCAUAACCCUCAACAUGAUUCUGUGUGAAGUGUUUUAAUGUGGACAGAUGUGUACAAUUCUCCCCUCCAUAUUUUGCUUUACAAACUUUUUAUCUCAUAAGUUAAUAUUUAAUAGGUUUUAUUUAUUAACUUAUUUUUUUUUCUAUUUUUUAUCUUGUAUGUAUCGUGUUGUAUUGGUUAUGUCAGUUGAUGAAAGCAAUCAACACCAGAAUAAACAAUUAAUUAGUGUAA
RNA transcript from Bemisia tabaci, 1588 nucleotides. It is a transcript of the gene named RNA-binding protein squid, with no coding region annotated. The record is from RefSeq and is a predicted model, not a curated record. Lineage: Eukaryota; Metazoa; Arthropoda; Insecta; Hemiptera; Aleyrodidae.